This 253-nucleotide ribosomal RNA is filed under the name uncultured bacterium. RNAcentral's name for it is "partial 16S ribosomal RNA". It matches the Rfam family "Bacterial small subunit ribosomal RNA", at positions 524 to 776 of the family's 1533-position model. The record is from RNAcentral.
UACGUAGGGUGCGAGCGUUAAUCGGAAUUACUGGGCGUAAAGCGUGCGCAGGCGGUUCUGAAAGUCAGCUGUGAAAGCCCCGGGCUUAACCUGGGAACUGCGGUUGAAACUACAGGACUAGAAUCUGGCAGAGGGGGGUGGAAUUCCACGUGUAGCAGUGAAAUGCGUAGAGAUGUGGAGGAACACCGAUGGCGAAGGCAGCCCCCUGGGCUAAGAUUGACGCUCAUGCACGAAAGCGUGGGGAGCAAACAGG